This 253-nucleotide ribosomal RNA is filed under the name uncultured bacterium. RNAcentral describes it as "partial 16S ribosomal RNA". It matches the Rfam family "Bacterial small subunit ribosomal RNA", at positions 524 to 776 of the family's 1533-position model. The record is from RNAcentral.
UACGUAGGGUGCAAGCGUUGUCCGGAAUUAUUGGGCGUAAAGAGCUCGUAGGCGGUCUGUCGCGUCUGCUGUGAAAAUCCAGGGCUCAACCCUGGACCUGCAGUGGGUACGGGCAGACUAGAGUGCGGUAGGGGAGAUCGGAAUUCCUGGUGUAGCGGUGAAAUGCGCAGAUAUCAGGAGGAACACCGGUGGCGAAGGCGGUUCUCUGGGAAUGUCCUGACGCUGAGGAGCGAAAGUGUGGGGAGCGAACAGG